GAUGAACGCUGGCGGCGUGCCUAAUACAUGCAAGUCGAGCGAACGGACGAGAAGCUUGCUUCUCUGAUGUUAGCGGCGGACGGGUGAGUAACACGUGGAUAACCUACCUAUAAGACUGGGAUAACUUCGGGAAACCGGAGCUAAUACCGGAUAAUAUUUUGAACCGCAUGGUCCAAAAGUGAAAGACGGUCUUGCUGUCACUUAUAGAUGGAUCCGCGCUGCAUUAGCUAGUUGGUAAGGUAACGGCUUACCAAGGCAACGAUGCAUAGCCGACCUGAGAGGGUGAUCGGCCACACUGGAACUGAAACACGGUCCAGACUCCUACGGGAGGCAGCAGUAGGGAAUCUUCCGCAAUGGGCGGAAGCCUGACGGAGCAACGCCGCGUGAGUGGUGAAGGUCUUCGGAUCGUAAAACUCUGUUAUUAGGGAAGAACAUAUGUGUAAGUAACUGUGCACAUCUUGACGGUACCUAAUCAGAAAGCCACGGCUAACUACGUG
Molecule: ribosomal RNA, 497 nt
Filed under: uncultured bacterium
Lineage: Bacteria
Description: partial 16S ribosomal RNA
Rfam family: Bacterial small subunit ribosomal RNA
Source: RNAcentral